CAUAUACUUCCUUCGUUCCGAAUUACUUGUCUUGAAUUUGUCUAGAUACAGAUAUAUCUAGACUUAUUUUAGUACUAGAUACCUCUGUAUUUAGACAAAUCUAAGACAAAUAAUUCGAAACGGAGGAAGUACCUG
Molecule: non-coding RNA, 135 nt
Organism: Triticum aestivum (bread wheat)
Lineage: Eukaryota; Viridiplantae; Streptophyta; Magnoliopsida; Poales; Poaceae
Source: Rfam